UGGGGAAUAUUGCACAAUGGGCGAAAGCCUGAUGCAGCAACGCCGCGUGAGCGAUGAAGGCCUUCGGGUCGUAAAGCUCUGUCCUCAAGGAAGAUAAUGACGGUACUUGAGGAGGAAGCCCCGGCUAACUACGUGCCAGCAGCCGCGGUAAUACGUAGGGGGCUAGCGUUAUCCGGAUUUACUGGGCGUAACGGGUGCGUAGGCGGUCUUUUAAGUCAGGAGUGAAGGGCUACGGCUCAACCGUAGUAAGCUCUUGAAACUGGAGGCCUUGAGUGCAGGAGGGGG
This 285-nucleotide ribosomal RNA is filed under the name uncultured prokaryote. Its description in RNAcentral is "partial 16S ribosomal RNA". It matches the Rfam family "Bacterial small subunit ribosomal RNA", at positions 355 to 658 of the family's 1533-position model. The record is from RNAcentral.